GAGCUAAUUUUAGAAGGGUUUUAGACUUAAGCUUAUUAAUGUUAAAAGUAUUAAAUGAUUAUCUAAAAUUAGGAGCGACAUGUUUUCACUUUUUCUGUUAUCUGGAUUUAGGUUAAAUGUGUUAAGCACAGAAUUACGUUUGAGCUUAAAGGUGUUCAGAUCUUUAAUAUUCUCAAAUCAUAAUUUAUCUAUAUUCUUGGUUUAAUAUCCUAAGGGUUUAUUGGCGGCAAAUAACUUUUCUUCUUCUUGAGGACUAUUAAUUUAAUAUUUAUAAGAUCUUAAUUAUAUAUCAAUUCUGUAAAAAUUAGUAUUAUCUAUUUAAUCUUAGAUAAGGAACUCGGCAAAACAUCCUUUCGACUGUUUACCAAAAACAUAGCUUUCUGAGUAGUAUAUAGAAAGUAACCUCUGCCCAGUGUGUCCAUAAACGGCCGCAGUACCCUGACUGUGCUAAGGUAGCAUAAUAAAUUGGCCUUUAAUUGAGGUCUAGUAUCAACGAGGUUUCGUAAGGGUUCUGCCUCAUCUAAGUUAAUUAGAAUUUUCUUUAUGAGGUGAAAAUUCCUCUAAAAAAGUUUAAUAGACGAGAAGACCCUAAGAGUUUUAAAAACAGAAGUUAAUUAACUUUGUAUUUUUUGUUGGGGCGACAGAGUAGCAAUUAAACCUGCUUUAAGAUUAAUCUUUGUCAAGAGCUUUCAAGAUAAAUUAAACUACCUUAGGGAUAACAGCGCAAUAAAACUUUUUGCUUACGACCUCGAUGUUGGAUUAGGGAAUAUAUAGUCUAGAAGAUUAUAUAAUUUGUUCUGUUCGAACGUAAACCCCUACAUGAUCUGAGUUCAGACCGGCGUA
RNAcentral lists this ribosomal RNA (843 nucleotides) under Chlamydephorus gibbonsi. RNAcentral's name for it is "partial 16S ribosomal RNA". The stretch from base 314 to 562 matches the Rfam family "Archaeal large subunit ribosomal RNA", at positions 1784 to 2143 of the family's 2987-position model. Lineage: Eukaryota; Metazoa; Mollusca; Gastropoda; Stylommatophora; Chlamydephoridae. The record is from RNAcentral.